CUGUCCUACGGGAGGCAGCAGUGAGGAAUAUUGGUCAAUGGGCGCGAGCCUGAACCAGCCAAGUCGCGUGAGGGAAGACGGUCCUAUGGAUUGUAAACCUCUUUUGUCGGGGAGCAAAAGACGCCACGUGUGGCGUUCCGAGAGUACCCGAAGAAAAAGCAUCGGCUAACUCCGUGCCAGCAGCCGCGGUAAUACGGAGGAUGCGAGCGUUAUCUGGAUUUAUUGGGUUUAAAGGGUGCGUAGGCGGAAUAUCAAGUCAGCGGUAAAAAUU
Molecule: ribosomal RNA, 271 nt
Filed under: uncultured bacterium
Lineage: Bacteria
Description: partial 16S ribosomal RNA
Rfam family: Bacterial small subunit ribosomal RNA
Source: RNAcentral